Molecule: ribosomal RNA, 759 nt
Filed under: uncultured bacterium
Lineage: Bacteria
Description: bacterial SSU rRNA
Rfam family: Bacterial small subunit ribosomal RNA
Source: RNAcentral
UGAGCCCGCGGCCUAUCAGCUCGUUGGUGGGGUAACGGCCCACCAAGGCGACGACGGGUAGCUGGCGUGAGAGCGUGGCCAGCCACACUGGGACUGAGACACGGCCCAGACUCCUACGGGAGGCAGCAGUGGGAAUCUUGGGCAAUGGGCGAAAGCCUGACCCAGCGACGCCGCGUGUGGGAUGAAGGCCCUCGGGUUGUAAACCCCUUUCACCGGGGACGAAGCCGCAAGGUGACGGUACCCGCAGAAGAAGCCCCGGCCAACUACGUGCCAGCAGCCGCGGUAAGACUUACGGGGCGAGCGUUGUCCCGAUUUAUUGUGCGUAAAGCGCGGCCGCGCAGGCGGUUCGGAAAGUCGGAUGUGAAAAUCCGGGGCUCAACCCCGGACCUGCACCCGAUACUCCCGGACUGGAGGCAGGUAGGGGAGAGCGGAAUUCCCGGUGUAGCGGUGAAAUGCGCAGAUAUCGGGAAGAACACCGGUGGCGAAGGCGGCUCUCUGAGCCUGUCCUGACGCUCAGGCGCGAAAGCUAGGGGAGCGAACAGGAUUAGAUACCCUGGUAGUCCUAGCCGUAAACGAUGGGUGCUAGGUGUGGGGCGGCGAUCGACCCGUUCCGUGCCGUAGCCAACGCAUUAAGCACCCCGCCUGGGGAGUACGGCCGCAAGGCUAAAACUCAAAGGAGUUGACGGGGGCCCGCACAAGCGGCGGAGCAUGUGGCUUAAUUCGAUGCGACGCGUAGAACCUUACCUGGGCUUGACAUGC